This 47-nucleotide ribosomal RNA is filed under the name uncultured fungus. RNAcentral describes it as "partial 28S ribosomal RNA". Lineage: Eukaryota; Fungi. The record is from RNAcentral.
CUUGACCUCAAAUCGGGUGAGACUACCCCGCUUGACUUAAGCAUAUC